UGGGGAAUUUUGGACAAUGGGCGAAAGCCCGAUCCAGCAAUGCCGCGUGUGUGAAGAAGGCCUUCGGGUUGUAAAGCACUUUUGUCCGGAAAGAAAUCCUUGGCUCUAAUACAGUCGGGGGAUGACGGUACCGGAAGAAUAAGCACCGGCUAACUACGUGCCAGCAGCCGCGGUAAUACGUAGGGUGCAAGCGUUAAUCGGAAUUACUGGGCGUAAAGCGUGCGCAGGCGGUUUGCUAAGACCGAUGUGAAACCCCCGGGCUCAACCUGGGAACUGCAUUGGUGACUGGCAGGCUAGAGUAUGGCAGAGGGGGGUAGAAUUCCACGUGUAGCAGUGAAAUGCGUAGAGAUGUGGAGGAAUACCGAUGGCGAAGGCACGCCCCUGGGCCAAUACUGACGCUCAUGCACGAAAGCGUGGGGAGCAAACAGGAUUAGAUACCCUGGUAGUCCACGCCCUAAACGAUGUCAACUAGUUGUUGGGGAUUCAUUUCCUUAGUAACGUAGCUAACGCGUGAAGUUGACCGCCUGGGGAGUACGGUCGCAAGAUUAAAACUUAAAGGAAUUG
Molecule: ribosomal RNA, 564 nt
Filed under: uncultured bacterium
Lineage: Bacteria
Description: partial 16S ribosomal RNA
Rfam family: Bacterial small subunit ribosomal RNA
Source: RNAcentral